CAACAAUUUCUAACGUAAACGUAUUAUCGGUGGCGCGGUGUGUAUGCGUAAGUUUUCCACAUUAGUUCUUUCAAUAUUUUGGAGUUUGUAUAGCUGCUACUGCUGGCAUCACCCUCUUCUCGGAAUUGAAUUUUUAACAUUGCAAUAAACUUUAUUACUGGCGGUUCAAGGAAGUUUUGUAAGCAAUGGUUGAUGGUGAGGAUAUUGAAAGUUCCAUGGACAAACAAUUCAACGAUAAUGACGGAGGUAAACCGGAUAAAAUGUUUACGUUGAAGAAGUGGAAUGCUGUGGCUAUGUGGAGCUGGGAUGUUGAGUGCGACACUUGCGCUAUUUGCAGAGUUCAAGUAAUGGCUGAGUGACUACCUUUUCUACUGUUAUUUUAUGUUAUACAAAGCUCCGUAAAGAGUUUUUAAUACAUUAUCCGGAAUCAGUUCAAAGAAUUGUGUUAAUAGUAAAUUGUACAUUGUGCCUUGCUGUUAAGAAGAGCUCCACUUGAAUUAUCUACUAGAAUAUUUUGCAAAGAACGUAUAAUAUUUUAUUUUAGACGUUUUCUAUACUUGUUGAGUUUCUGGAAACUCUUUAAAAUUUAUACUCUGUUUCAGAUAGUACCUUUCUUUAAUUAGUAUAAUAUUAUUCGAAUUUUGUACAACUAGGUACCGUAUAUUAUUAUUCUUUAUUUUAAACGGUGUAAUUGUUUUUCAAUAACGGAGAGUAACUUCGGUGUGUAUUUUUCACUUAAUUGAAUUCAGUAUAUGUACAUAUGAAUAUUCUCUUAACUAUUUAAUUUCCUCAAGGCUGCAACAUAAACCUUUAAACUGCAGAAGGUCACUUAACUGGUGUGUAUACCGAUUACUUUGGCGGAGGGGUAAAAAACCGAAUUUCCGUAUAAAUGGGGUAUGUGCGGAUAGGGGAGCUUCUCCAGAGAAGAAAUAGCCAAAAAUAAUAUAAAAAUAACUUUUAUUUUUUAAAAUAUUCACGAUUAAAAGUUCAAAAAUUUGCACUAAUAACACAUGGUAUUUCUCUAUGUUUCACUAAAUUUUUUCACGUUUUUCACUCUGUAUAUUUAAAUAUACACUCUAAACAUUGAAAUAAGUUCACAUUUCACUUUUAUUUUGGUAUAUUUUACCUAAAUUUAUUAAUUUAAAAAUCACUUAGUGCACUCAUCGUUGAAAAGGUUAGAUUGUUUACAAUUAUGAGGAAAACAAGCCUUGCCACAUCUUAAAUAGCAAAUAUGUAGGAUUUUUAACAAUUUUUCUUUGUUUGCUUUUUCACGUAAUUCUUUUUUCUAUAUUAACUAUAAAAAAAUUCUUUCUACAUAUGCACAUAUACGUAUGUGUAAUAUGUGAUUUAUGUGACUGAAGUACUUUCUGCAUUGGCGGCCUUCGGCCACGCUUUAAAAAAAAUAACCCUGGUCGAGCGAAUACCCUGGGUGACUGAAGUACUUUCGCAUAGUACUCCUUUCUGCGUUGGCGGCCUUCGGCCGCGCUUUAAAAAAAUAACCCUGGUCGAGCGAAUA
This is a long non-coding RNA of Bactrocera neohumeralis, 1516 nucleotides long. RefSeq lists it as uncharacterized. The transcript is spliced from 2 exons. The record is from RefSeq and is a predicted model, not a curated record. NCBI's taxonomy places the organism in Eukaryota, Metazoa, Arthropoda, Insecta, Diptera, Tephritidae.